Molecule: ribosomal RNA, 468 nt
Filed under: uncultured bacterium
Lineage: Bacteria
Description: partial 16S ribosomal RNA
Rfam family: Bacterial small subunit ribosomal RNA
Source: RNAcentral
GACGAACGCUGGCGGCGUGCUUAACACAUGCAAGUCGAACGGAAAAGCCCAGCUUUUGUGGGGUGCUCGAGUGGCGAACGGGUGAGUAAGACGUGAGGAACGUGCCCUGGACUUUGGGAUAACUUCAGGAAACUGGGGCUAAUAGCGGAUAGGAGCUCCUGCUGCAUGGUGUGGGUUGGAAAGUUUCGGCGGUUGGGGAUGGACUCGCGGCUUAUCAGCUUGUUGGUGGGGUAGUGGCUUACCAAGGCUUUGACGGGUAGCCGGCCUGAGAGGGUGACCGGCCACAUUGGGCCUGAGAUACGGCACAGACUCGUACGGGAGGCAGCAGUGGGGAAUAUUGCACAAUGGGCGGAAGCCUGAUGCAGCAACGCCGCGCGCGGGAUGACGGCAUUCGGGUUGUAACCCGCUUUCGCCUGUGACGAAGCGUGAGUGACGGUAAUGGGUAAAGAAGCACCGGCUAAAUACGUG